Molecule: non-coding RNA, 77 nt
Filed under: Sus scrofa (pig)
Lineage: Eukaryota; Metazoa; Chordata; Mammalia; Artiodactyla; Suidae
Source: RNAcentral
GGAACGGAGUUGGUCCCCGCGCGCUGUGCGCUUCCCUAAGCUGUGGGCUGUGCACCUGGGACUCGGCUCAGACACUU